Molecule: non-coding RNA, 115 nt
Organism: Triticum urartu
Lineage: Eukaryota; Viridiplantae; Streptophyta; Magnoliopsida; Poales; Poaceae
Source: Rfam
AUGCUACUCUCUCCGUUCCAAAUUACUCGUCUCAGGAAUGGAUGUAUCUAGAAUUAAAAUACAUCUAGAUACAUCCAUUUCUGCGACGAGUAAUUCGGAACGAAAAGAGUACAAC